Molecule: ribosomal RNA, 448 nt
Filed under: uncultured bacterium
Lineage: Bacteria
Description: bacterial SSU rRNA
Rfam family: Bacterial small subunit ribosomal RNA
Source: RNAcentral
UACCAGACUCCUACGGGAGGCAGCAGUGGGGGAUAUUGCACAAUGGGGGGAACCCUGAUGCAGCGACGCCGCGUGGGUGAAGGAGUGCUUUGGCAUGUAAAGCCCUAUCGGCAGGGAAGAAGCAAGACGGUACCUGACUAAGAAGCCCCGGCUAACUACGUGCCAGCAGCCGCGGUAAUACGUAGGGGGCGAGCGUUAUCCGGAUUCACUGGGUGUAAAGGGAGCGUAGACGGCCAUGCAAGCCAGGGGUGAAAGCCCGGGGCCCAACCCCGGGACUGCCCUUGGAACUGCAUGGCUGGAGUGCGGGAGGGGCAGGCGGAAUUCCUGGUGUAGCGGUGAAAUGCGUAGAUAUCAGGAGGAACACCGGCGGCGAAGGCGGCCUGCUGGACCGCGACUGACGUUGAGGCUCGAAAGCGUGGGGAGCAAACAGGAUUAGAUACCCUGGUAA